UCCGGUGACCAUAGCGACGGGGUCACACCUGUUCCCAUCCCGAACACAGUAGUUAAGCCCGUCUGCGCCGAUGGUACUGCCCUGGCAACGGGGCGGGAGAGUAGGUCAUUGCCGGGU
Molecule: ribosomal RNA, 117 nt
Filed under: Candidatus Aeolococcus gillhamiae
Lineage: Bacteria; Bacillati; Candidatus Dormiibacterota; Candidatus Dormibacteria; Candidatus Aeolococcales; Candidatus Aeolococcaceae
Also listed under: 1 other name
Source: RNAcentral